RNAcentral lists this ribosomal RNA (497 nucleotides) under uncultured bacterium. RNAcentral's name for it is "partial 16S ribosomal RNA". It matches the Rfam family "Bacterial small subunit ribosomal RNA", at positions 28 to 523 of the family's 1533-position model. The record is from RNAcentral.
GAUGAACGCUGGCGGCGUGCUUAACACAUGCAAGUCGAACGAAGCACUUUACUUGAUCUUUUCCGAGUGAUUGUUUUGUGACUGAGUGGCGGACGGGUGAGUAACGCGUGGGUAACCUGCCUCACACAGGGGGAUAACAGUUGGAAACGGCUGCUAAUACCGCAUAAGCGCACAGUACCGCAUGGUACGGUGUGAAAAACUCCGGUGGUGUGAGAUGGACCCGCGUCUGAUUAGCUAGUUGGCAGGGCAACGGCCUACCAAGGCGACGAUCAGUAGCCGACCUGAGAGGGUGACCGGCCACAUUGGGACUGAGACACGGCCCAAACUCCUACGGGAGGCAGCAGUGGGGAAUAUUGCACAAUGGGGGAAACCCUGAUGCAGCGACGCCGCGUGAGCGAAGAAGUAUUUCGGUAUGUAAAGCUCUAUCAGCAGGGAAGAAGAAGUGACGGUACCUGACUAAGAAGCACCGGCUAAAUACGUGCCAGCAGCCGCCGUAA